This 700-nucleotide ribosomal RNA is filed under the name uncultured bacterium. RNAcentral's name for it is "bacterial SSU rRNA". It matches the Rfam family "Bacterial small subunit ribosomal RNA", at positions 798 to 1498 of the family's 1533-position model. The record is from RNAcentral.
AGCCGUAAACGAUGAGUACUAGGUGUCUGCCUCUUGUAGGUAGGUGCCGCAGCUAACGCAUUAAGUACUCCACCUGGGGACUACGGCCGCAAGGCUAAAACUCAAAGGAAUUGACGGGGACCCGCACAAGCGGUGGAACAUGUGGUUUAAUUCGAUGAUACGCGAAGAACCUCACCAAGGCUUGACAUGCUCAUCAUAUUCUCCCCAAAAGGAGAAGUCAUUUAGUUGGAUGAUGCACAGGUGCUGCAUGGCUGUCGUCAGCUCGUGUCGUGAGAUGUUGGGUUAAGUCCCGCAACGAGCGCAACCAUUGCCUUAUGUUGCUACCAAACGAUUCUUCGGAAUUUGUUUGCGCACUCUUAAGGGACUGCCUGGGAUAACCAGGAGGAAGGUGGAGAUGACGUCAAGUCAGUACGGCCCUUAUGCCUUGGGCUACACACGUGUUACAAUGGUGGAUACAAAGGGUUGCCAACCCGCGAGGGGGAGCCAAUCUCAAAAAAUCCAUCUCAGUUCGGAUUGGAGUCUGCAAUUCGACUCCAUGAAGCUGGAAUCGCUAGUAAUGGAAGAUCAGCUCGCUUCCGUGAAUACGUUCCCGGGUCUUGUACACACCGCCCGUCAAGCGAUGAAAGCUGGGGGUACCCGAAGUCCUAUGUAGAUAGGCCGAAGGUAAAACCGGUGAUUGGCGCUAAGUCGUAACAAGGUA